Molecule: ribosomal RNA, 207 nt
Filed under: uncultured bacterium
Lineage: Bacteria
Description: partial 16S ribosomal RNA
Rfam family: Bacterial small subunit ribosomal RNA
Source: RNAcentral
CACGUAGGCGGACUAUUAAGUCAGGGGUGAAAUCCCGGGGCUCAACCCCGGAACUGCCUUUGAUACUGGUAGUCUUGAGUUCGAGAGAGGUGAGUGGAAUUCCGAGUGUAGAGGUGAAAUUCGUAGAUAUUCGGAGGAACACCAGUGGCGAAGACGGCUCACUGGCUCGAUACUGACGCUGAGGUGCGAAAGCGUGGGGAGCAAACA